RNAcentral lists this ribosomal RNA (464 nucleotides) under uncultured bacterium. Its description in RNAcentral is "partial 16S ribosomal RNA". It matches the Rfam family "Bacterial small subunit ribosomal RNA", at positions 29 to 507 of the family's 1533-position model. The record is from RNAcentral.
ACGCACGCUGGCGGCGUGCUUCACACCUGCAAGUCGCACGGAAAGGCCCUGCUUGCAGGGUACUCGAGUGGCGAACGGGUGAGUAACACGUGGGUGAUCUGCCCUGCACUUCGGGAUAAGCCUGGGAAACUGGGUCUAAUACCGGAUAGGAGCCAUUUUUAGUGUGAUGGUUGGAAAGUUUUUUCGGUGUAGGAUGAGCUCGCGGCCUAUCAGCUUGUUGGUGGGGUAAUGGCCUACCAAGGCGGCGACGGGUAGCCGGCCUGAGAGGGUGGACGGCCACAUUGGGACUGAGAUACGGCCCAGACUCCUACGGGAGGCAGCAGUGGGGAAUAUUGCACAAUGGGCGCAAGCCUGAUGCAGCGACGCCGCGUGGGGGAUGACGGCCUUCGGGUUGGAAACUCCUUUCGCUAGGGACGAAGCUUUUUGUGACGGUACCUAGAUAAGAAGCACCGGCUAACUACGUG